Molecule: long non-coding RNA, 1399 nt
Organism: Populus euphratica (Euphrates poplar)
Lineage: Eukaryota; Viridiplantae; Streptophyta; Magnoliopsida; Malpighiales; Salicaceae
Exons: 3
Source: RefSeq, a predicted model, not a curated record
UGAUUAUUUAUAGAAGGACCAGCAAGCAUAGAGGGACAAGCAAGCAUGAUGCCCUUCGGGACUGCAUCUACUUCUGAUGCAUUAGACAAAAAGGAAAAUGAUAAGAGUUGAGACGGUUUUCACUAACUUUUGAGUCGCAUGAACACAAGUACGAUCUUUGGGCACCGAGGCUUCCCAUUCUUGUGAUUUCUCCAGACGCCCUGCUCACAAAAUAUUUAAAAGAUCCUUUUGUCUUCCUCUCAGCUGCUUCAGUUUUUUUUAUGGCACCUUCAGGAAUCCAGGUUCUAUAUAUCCUGUUUUGGUUCUUGUAAUCUCUUUCUUGAUAAAACAGAAAAAGGGUUUUGUUGUGAUGAUUGUCUCUGACUGGUAAGUAAAUGAUAGCAUUUUUUGGUUAAGAAUAGAUUUAUCUAUAUGAUGAUGAUGAUCUCACUUGAAGUUCAUAUAGGACUUGGGAAUUGGCCUGAUCACAUGUUCAUGAUCAAACUGAAUAACCCUCUUGUUGAUUUGAAUUCUUGUUUCUCAUUGCUAAUGGAACUAGGAAUUUCCUCUAUGAAGACUGCUCUUGAUUGCAGCAAAACUUGGUAUCAAGAAAUUUGGAAUUUUCUUGACAUGUUGCAGAUAAAAAAUUAACAGGAACAGGAACUGAUAUUAAAAUCUUGGCAGAGGCUUGAGAAGGGUGAUCAGAAGUCUCGAGUGGCAGUAGAGAAGGUCAACACGUGGAAGCGCCUUGAUGAUGAGAAGCUGAUCAAGCUUGAUGAACAAAUCUCAUGGGAGUUUCACCAGUCAAGAUGGCUUGAUUACAGCAAAAGGGAGAAAAGUACCUAGAAAUGACCCUGAAGCCACACCAACAGCAACAUAAGUUAAGGACAAAGCAAACUGCAUUGUUACCAUGUACAAAAGGAUGAACCGCCGUAACUGUUCAUGAGGUCACUGAGAAUUAUCAUGAUCAAUGACAUGCUUGAUCCAUCUGCAACACUCCCUAUUGACCCAAGUGCCAUCAACAGAACAUCCUUCCAAUCUGAAUGCUUCAACACAGUCCGCAACGACCCAGAUGGCAUACUACUUGCUUUUUGCUCGACUUCAUCCUUGCUGAAUGGUUCUCCUCUCUUCUCUGAUUCUGAACUAAGCUCUUCCAUUCUUCAGCAACUAUUUCCUGCUAAUUUCUCUUGAUGUUCUUUCAAGUUAUAUAUCAGUACAAACAAUCAGGGUUGCUGUGUUAGGACUUCUGAAGUGAAGAUACUGUUAGAAGCUGCCUUUUGAAGGAGCUCUCAGCACUUUUAACCUUAGCUUAACCUCUGUCGCAACAUUAAAAUGCACUGUAUGUUAUAAAUGUGAUCUUUUUUUUUUGUUAUAAUAUUAUUAAAAUGCACUGUAUGUUAUUAAUGUGUUCUUGACAUAC